RNAcentral lists this ribosomal RNA (762 nucleotides) under uncultured Sordariomycetes. Its description in RNAcentral is "SSU rRNA". It matches the Rfam family "Eukaryotic small subunit ribosomal RNA", at positions 804 to 1590 of the family's 1831-position model. The record is from RNAcentral. Lineage: Eukaryota; Fungi; Ascomycota; Sordariomycetes.
UUAGCAUGGAAUAAUAAAAUAGGACGUGUGGUUCUAUUUUGUUGGUUUCUAGGACCGCCGCAAUGAUUAAUAGGGACAGUCGGGGGCAUCAGUAUUCAAUUGUCAGAGGUGAAAUUCUUGGAUCUAUUGAAGACUAACUACUGCGAAAGCAUUUGCCAAGGAUGUUUUCAUUGAUAAGGAACGAAAGUUAGGGGAUCGAAGACGAUCAGAUACCGUCGUAGUCUUAACUAUAAACUAUGCCGACUAGGGAUCGGACGAUGUUAUCUUUUGACUCGUUCGGCACCUUUCGAGAAAUCAAAGUGCUUGGGCUCCAGGGGGAGUAUGGUCGCAAGGCUGAAACUUAAAGAAAUUGACGGAAGGGCACCACCAGGGGUGGAACCUGCGGCUUAAUUUGACUCAACACGGGGAAACUCACCAGGUCCAGACACAGUGAGGAUUGACAGAUUGAUAGCUCUUUCUUGAUUCUGUGGGUGGUGGUGCAUGGCCGUUCUUAGUUGGUGGAGUGAUUUGUCUGCUUAAUUGCGAUAACGAACGAGACCUUAACCUGCUAAAUAGCCCUUAUUGCUUCGGCAGUAUGCUGGCUUCUUAGAGGGACUAUCGGCUCAAGCCGAUGGAAGUUUGAGGCAAUAACAGGUCUGUGAUGCCCUUAGAUGUCCUGGGCCGCACGCGCGUUACACUGACAAAGCCAGCGAGUAUUUCCUUGGCCGGAAGGCCCGGGUAAUCUUGUUAAACUUUGUCGUGCUGGGGAUAGAGCAUUGCAAU